This 663-nucleotide ribosomal RNA is filed under the name Alcaligenes sp. N4. RNAcentral's name for it is "bacterial SSU rRNA". It matches the Rfam family "Bacterial small subunit ribosomal RNA", at positions 80 to 739 of the family's 1533-position model. Lineage: Bacteria; Pseudomonadati; Pseudomonadota; Betaproteobacteria; Burkholderiales; Alcaligenaceae. The record is from RNAcentral.
CUCUCUUGGCGGCGAGUGGCGGACGGGUGAGUAAUAUAUCGGAACGUGCCCAGUAGCGGGGGAUAACUACUCGAAAGAGUGGCUAAUACCGCAUACGCCCUACGGGGGAAAGGGGGGGAUCGCAAGACCUCUCACUAUUGGAGCGGCCGAUAUCGGAUUAGCUAGUUGGUGGGGUAAAGGCUCACCAAGGCAACGAUCCGUAGCUGGUUUGAGAGGACGACCAGCCACACUGGGACUGAGACACGGCCCAGACUCYUACGGGAGGCAGCAGUGGGGAAUUUUGGACAAUGGGGGAAACCCUGAUCCAGCCAUCCCGCGUGUAUGAUGAAGGCCUUCGGGUUGUAAAGUACUUUUGGCAGAGAAGAAAAGGUAUCCCCUAAUACGGGAUACUGCUGACGGUAUCUGCAGAAUAAGCACCGGCUAACUACGUGCCAGCAGCCGCGGUAAUACGUAGGGUGCAAGCGUUAAUCGGAAUUACUGGGCGUAAAGCGUGUGUAGGCGGUUCGGAAAGAAAGAUGUGAAAUCCCAGGGCUCAACCUUGGAACUGCAUUUUUAACUGCCGAGCUAGAGUAUGUCAGAGGGGGGUAGAAUUCCACGUGUAGCAGUGAAAUGCGUAGAUAUGUGGAGGAAUACCGAUGGCGAAGGCAGCCCCCUGGGAUAAUA